GAUAAUAAGGUGAUUGAUGAGUCCCCCCCCCCCCCCCCGCAGAGCCUUAUCUGAAACCAGCACUCUAGAGAAGACUCCAUGGGUAAAAGGUGUCACCUCCUGGGAAUAUGGAGCCAUCUGCAAGUGUUUGUCACUUAAAGUCCAAAUAUAUCAAAGGAAGAAUUUUCCUUUCUCUCUUAUUUUUGCUUGUUUUUCUUGUCUUUUCAACACUUUAGGAAACAAAUUAAAGUAGCAGAUGUACUAUAGAACCCUGAGGACAGGUUAGUAGUUCAGAGAAGAGCUAGGUAUUUGACAGGAUUUAGAUACCAUUUCUGAGUCCACCCACAUCAUUGUGUCAUCUCAGGCAAGAUGCUCAACUUCUCUGAACUGGUCUUUGAAUCUCUAAGAAGGUGUUAAUAAUUCCACACUUUGUGAGCUGCUGUGAGGAUUAACUGAGAUCAAGCACUUAAAUGGUGCUCAUCUCACAGUGCCCUGCAAGGGAUCAUUGAGCAGGUGGGGACUCUUCCGUAAUGUCCCAAUUUCAGUUGUGUUUUACUUUAGAUGACAAAUGAGACCUCUCACACACAUCUACCUUAGACUAUGACUGCUCGAGUCGAAUGAAACAAAAUUUCAGCAGUUUCCCAGGAAGCUAGUCAGGGUGGGCUGAUAUAUAUGAAAUAUGAUAUAUGACUGAUAUGUAUGAAAUAUGAUAUAUGACUGAUAUGUAUGAAAUAUGAUAUAUGACUGAUAUGUAUGAAAUAUGACAUAUGGUAUAUAUUAAAUAUAAGAUAUGAUAAUUCUUGGGCAUUAGUAUGGGCUUUUACAACACUUACCUAAAUCUCUCAUGCAAUUUGAUCUCUAGUCAUGCUGUUUGGAGAAUUAAUUUAAAUAAUUUAAAAGUUCAAAUAUCUUCUAAAAGAUACUGAAAACUGUACAGAAACCCCAAAGUCAAGAUCUACCAAUGUUAAGUUAGAUGCAAAUAGCAUUGUAACAGCAGCUAUUUUAGAAAGGUUUGGUUUCUUGCAGUGAGACAGGAAACCCACAAUGCAGACCUAGAGCAAUAAUUCUAGGCUUGAACCAGCUUGAUCAAAUGGAAAGCAGGUGCUUUGGUUUGUUUGUAGUCCAAUCAUUGAGAAUAACUAUGAUUAGGAUAUGAGUAUAACUUAUUGGACUAAACUAUAUUAAAUCUCUAAUACUCAUUGUUUUAUUUUUUAAUGGUGUUUUAUGUGAUUCUGCUUGUAGUUUUUAAUUUUAUUGUUUUUUCCUCCAAAUGAAACCUCGGCUUUUAAGGCAAAGGAAAGAGCAGCCUGAAAUAAUUGCUCAAGAAACGAUAAGCUUCUGUCCUCUUCCUUACCUGGAAGGUGCCUCCUAUGGGAAAUGAAGAAAAUAAUGUACACUUUACAAAGUUCUUGUGAAGCUUACAGGACAAUAUACAAGGCAGUCUAAUUCCAGGCAAAGCCACUUGUUGGAGUUGAAACAACCAAUGUUUGGAGAAAAGAAAGAAGACUGUAUCAACUCUCAUGUACUUUGCUUUCCUGGGAAGAAAAAUACAGCAACAUCAUUUCUAUAGGAGCUAGAAGUUUCCUAUGUAACCUUCACAUCUUAAAGCAUUGCGAACAUCUCAAAAUAACGUGGAUGCUUCUCUGGGUUCCCAACAGCAAACAGAGUGAUACAUGUACAUUUGAAAAGUAACAUGCUGCACUAAUUCUUGCUCUCAUGUUAUGAAUUUAGUUGAACAAAUAGUUAAUGGAGAAUAAAAAAGAUUGGCUUUUAAAUUGUAAAUGCCAUUUUGCAAGACACACCUAUGUUGACCCCAAAUCUAUAAAGCUGGCCUUCUAGAAGUUUACAAACAGGCUGUUCCAAAGACUUGGCUCUGGAAGGGUUCUUGAGGGGGCAGAAUCUGGGUAAUGAAGGACACAUGGCAAGGGUGAACAGCACACACAGAAUAUUUGUUUGGAUGGGUGCCAGACUCACCACAGACAGUCAUCCUCCAGAGGAUGUCCUAUGAAGCUUGAUCCACUCUCAAGAGGUAGCAUUAGUCCAUACAUAAGCAUAGAGCCCCAGGACGAAAUGAACUUCUCCUACGCCAUACUUCUUAAAAGUUAUAGCACAUAUCACCACUACACUAGGGAUCAAACUGUAACAAAAUAUAGCAGCAUCUUAAAGAUAUGAGAACACUGGAGACUGUAUUUCUUCAACUUCCAUAUAAUAGGGUACAAAAUCAUCAUUAUUGAUCAUUCUAAAAUGCCAUUAUUCAUGGCUUUCUAAAAUUCAAUAACAUGAUUCUUUCAAUUCAGAUAAUGCAUUAUAUCACUAUUUUGUCCUAUUUAUUCCUAAUAAAUAAUUAAAUUUAAAGUCUAUUCUUAAAUGUUUUAAAUGUUGAGUAUCAAUGUGAAAAAAAAUAAUAUUGUAAGAGUAAAAUAGCUUCUAUAGAAAAUGUUAUGCAUAUAUCUCCAUUUCUUCCUUAUUCAUUUUAAUAUAAAGCAUUAUUUUGUGCUCCAAAGAAAAGAAAAUAAUUUCAAAAAACAACAACCCAAUGCUUUAAAAAUACUGUCAAUUAGUUGGACAGCAAUAGUGCACACCUUUAAUCCAACUACUCGGGAAAGCAGAGGUUGGUGGAUAUGUUUCAGGCCAGUCUGGUCUACAAGUUUCAAGACAGCCAGGGUUGUUAAACCCUGGAUUCAAAAACCACUAAAAAAUAAAUAAAUAAUACAAUCAAUCACAAAUUAGUCAUCCCUGUAAGACAGUGCCUGUAAGACAAAGGUAUGAUUAAUGAUAAUCUAUUAACUUAAGAAAAGUUACUUGUACUUUUUAAUUUUUUUCACAUAAAAAUAUAUGUUUUGUUGAAAAAAACAUGCGUUUUUUUCCUCAGAAAUAUCUAUGAUUAUUGUUUUGUUUUCUUCUGCAUAGUUCAUUCCUAGGACCUAUAAUGUUGUGGUAAAUUAAUUGCUAUGAUGCAAUUUAGCAUGGCUAUAAAUUGUAGGCAGUUAAAAUCUUAGUUGUAUAUUAGUAUAUGAUUUGGUAUUUGAUAAUUAAAUAACUAAUAUAAAAUCUCUAAAUUAAUUUCCUCAAGCCAUAGACUUAUUCAUUAAAAACUACAACUGUAAGAAAAAUGCAACUGUGGAGCCUAAUGAGGUUAGGCUAUGUAGUCACCAAGGUAACUAUAGCAUAAACUUAAAUGUACAGGACACAUUACUGGGGCCAAGCAGGUCUACUAUAAGAGUAAACAGCCUCGCUGACCUUUAACUCUUCAGCUUUUCUUAGUUGUCCAGUUCACUAUGUCCCAAUGAUACAGUAUCAUCUUCUUGUGGGUUUUUUUGUUUGUUUUGUGUUUUCAUGUAUCAGAAGUAUCUGGUAAAUUAUGAGGACUUUGAGAAAUUUAAAGUUGACAAUAAUUAAUUUUUAUAUCAAUGUAUUUCAACCUUGAAAUACAAUAUCAGUUGACAAUACAGAAGCUGGUUUUUAUAUUUUUAUAAUGUUAACUUACUGGGACGUUCCACUGAUAAAGGAGCAGAACCGAGUGCGAAGCUCUUUUGUGGCAUGCAAAAGUGAACUUCAGUCCUUGAGAGAGCAGGCCCAGUGAAACGCAGGGAAAAAGAACUCACUAUGUCACAUUCCAUAGAAUAGAGCACCUAAUUACCGUCAUGCAAUAGAUAUAAAUGUCAACAAAUGGGGCAGUGGGACACCAUGUCUGUAGUGCAGAGCUAUGACAGUAUCAAUCAGACAAAUAGAACCUGUGGCAUACAGUGUGUGGAUUCGGGGGGGAGGAUUGUAAAGACUGGAGUGUUCUAUGCUGGCUAGAAGCAGUUCUGCUCUGAUACCUCCCCCACUAAACUCUGAGGACCUGUUGAUAUUAAUCUUUAGGACAGUUCAUCCAGCUCGACUUUAUCAGACCUUCAGUCCUGAAGACUGGUAAUUCUGAUCAAAUCAAAUUUUGUUUAGCCUUAUAUUCAUAAUCAUUUAUUAUUGAUCUUAAAGACAUGAUCUUUUCAGAAAGUGCCAGAUACAAAAAUCAAACAAUUCACAAAGAAAUUUGCAAUGAGACAAGCAAAAUGAACCUGGCUGGCCCUGUGAGCAGAAGUUCAUAUAAGAUUCCUUUCUCACAGCCAAACUGAUGCACAAGUCGCUUCCAAGAUAAACAGGGUUACACUCCGUGUUCGACAGCAUUGUAUUUAGACUCUCAAUCCUUUCCUGGGGUACUCUUUCUUUCAAACAAGGAUGAGACAUGAAGCUGAGAGGUACAGCUGGUCAAAUCUUUCUUCUUUGGCUUAUGUCAAAGUCUUCCCACCUUGAUAUUCGAAGGAGAGAAUGAGUGAUGGUCGUUGUUGAUGAGGCCUCAGGACUCUGCAGCCAAUAGCAUUGCCUCCUCUGCCAGGGUGACGAGAGAAGGAAGUGGCCACUUGGUCACUUCUGCCAGGCACAAAAAAGAAUGGGCAUAAUAUCAGAACAGAUUUUUUAAAACAAAAGCCCAGUAGUUCUGAUUCAAGCGUAAUUCCCAUGGUUUCCCAUUGUUGAAAUGCUGCAUUACUUAAGCCCUUGUGGAUUUUUCAAGGUCUCUUAUCAAAGGAAACAAAAGAAUACUUCUCGCUGGUGGUGAAAAAUUAAGAAAAGAUCUGAAAAUGAAAUCAUGUGAUUGUACUAAAAACACAAAAUGCAAAAACUGUUUUAUAAAUUUAAUGUAUUUUUACUAGAGUAGAUAUCUUUAAUUUAGACUUUUCUGUAGACACAGAUAUCACAAAUCUUAUCAUAAAUCCAUAAUCUCCCUAAAAUCACUCUUUUAUCAUAGAAAAAACCCUGUGACAUAGGUGACUAACAGUGUACCUAUUAUUGCAGAAGAUUAUAGGAUUACCUAGUCAUAUGUAAUUUGAUUAAUUUCAAAUGCAAUGAUAUUUUAACAAAAUCCAAUAUGCUCAAAAGAUAAACUUGAAAAAUACAACUGAAGAAAUUAUUUUCUCAUGCAUUCAACACGUAUACUCAUUGCCGUACGCAUUGACCUCUGUCCUAAGCACCAGCAAUUUGUCAAGGAACAAGAGGGAGGUUUUCUCCCUCAGUUUAGGACCAGUUUGUUCUGGUCCGUGUACUUACAUAAACCAAGCAGACUGAUAACUUGUGGUUUGUGAGUCAUGUUAGAAUAAAAGGCUAAGCUAGGGAAUGAUGUACUGGGUAGACCAGAAAGAACAGAUCUCCUUUGAAUACAGUUAUGGGAGGAGGGCUUCCCAAAAAGUUAAAUUCAAAGAACUAACCCUUGGAAAAGUAUUAAUCAUUUGAAGAGUUCAAGGAAGGACAUUGACAGUGGCAGGAACUCCAAGAAUCUGAUAGCUGGAGGGUGAUGAUUCAGAGAGAGGGUGGUGUAAGGCAAGCUUAGGGAGGAUGCUGAGAACAGGCCAUGGAGGCCCUGAAGUCACAGUGAAUAGCUCACUUUGAUGCAGUGGUGAGCUAGACAAUGUAGCAGGGAGGAGAGACACAACCUGAUUCACAUCAUCUGCUUCUUACUGUAGUUGAAGAAGGAAAUGAAUAAAGGUGGAGGCAGAAAAGCACAUAACUUGCUUUACAAAGAUUUCAGCAAAAUAUUUACUUUAUAUGACUAAGUUAGCAAUUUCAUAGAUCAUUAGGAAGGUUGAUAUGGUUACACAAAGAAGAAGAAUAAAAAAAGCAAAACCCAUUUCAAGAUUUCAAUAUGGAUAAGAGUAAAAUAAGAUAGUGGAAAUGCUGAGAACUGUCUUGGUUCCCUCCAUGUUGUGAGAUGAGGAGUUGCUGUCAGACAGUUAACUGAGAAAGCAGAGAGUUCCCUUAGUCAUCUUCUUAUGACUUAAACUAAAAUACAUUUCUUAGAUAUAGAUCAGAGCACAGAGUGAUAAAUGGUCACAAAGCCCCCCAGAGCCUGCCCAGCUAGUAACUUCAGCUGUAGCAAAGCGUGGAGAAGCUAGAAUAAGUGUUUAUUUGUUUGUGUGAUUGGUUUCAUUUGUGUAUUUAAUUGCUUAUUUUAAAAAUGGAAUCAGGAAGACUUCAAAAUCUUGCAAUUAAGAAAAGUUUAAAAACAAAAUUUAAAAAAUUAAAUUAAAAACAAAUUAAUUAAAAAAUUAAAAACAGAAUAACUAUGUGAUCCAGCCAUCUGCUGAAUAUAAAUCUGAAUUAAAUAAGAUAAUAUUGCAAAGACAUACUUGCACUCAUAUGCUCAUUUCAGCAUUGUUCAAAAUAAGAAUUACAUAAAUAUCCUUUGUUAGAAAAAUGGAAAUUAAAUAAUGUGUAUAUAUACAUACGUAUGAGCACACCAACACACACACACACACACACACACA
Molecule: long non-coding RNA, 6278 nt
Organism: Myodes glareolus (Bank vole)
Lineage: Eukaryota; Metazoa; Chordata; Mammalia; Rodentia; Cricetidae
Source: RefSeq, a predicted model, not a curated record